This is a long non-coding RNA of Corticium candelabrum, 260 nucleotides long. RefSeq lists it as uncharacterized. NCBI's taxonomy places the organism in Eukaryota, Metazoa, Porifera, Homoscleromorpha, Homosclerophorida, Plakinidae. The record is from RefSeq and is a predicted model, not a curated record. The transcript has 5 exons.
CUCGCCGUGCGCUCGUCAUUCAGAUCGGUGGACUGCCUCGUGUAUCGAUCUAGACUACUGCUGAUGGAGAGCAUGAAAUCAACUCGUACUGCCAUCGGUGUCGUCUUCGUCUUCUGUUGUAUCUCUGCUUCGAUUUGGCAGCUGAAUGCACAAGAAGACGUCGUAAUUGCUCCCGAGGAAGAUGUAGGAAACGAAAUUCCUGACAAGUGCUUGUGCCAUGACGUUUGUAUUGGGGCACCAGGACGCGACGGACAAAAUGG